RNAcentral lists this ribosomal RNA (376 nucleotides) under uncultured bacterium. RNAcentral's name for it is "bacterial SSU rRNA". It matches the Rfam family "Bacterial small subunit ribosomal RNA", at positions 524 to 898 of the family's 1533-position model. The record is from RNAcentral.
UACAGAGGGUGCAAGCGUUGUUCGGAAUUACUGGGCGUAAAGCGCGUGUAGGCGGUCUGAUAAGUCGGUCGUGAAAGCCCUUGGCUUAACCAAGGAACUGCGAUCGAAACUGCCGGACUAGAGUAUCGGAGGGGGUGGCGGAAUUCCCGGUGUAGAGGUGAAAUUCGUAGAUAUCGGGAGGAACACCUGUGGCGAAGGCGGCCACCUGGAAGAUUACUGACGCUGAGACGCGAAAGCGUGGGGAGCAAACAGGAUUAGAUACCCUGGUAGUCCACGCCGUAAACGAUGAGUGCUAGGUGUUGCGGGUAUUGACCCCUGCAGUGCCAAAGCUAACGCGUUAAGCACUCCGCCUGGGGAGUACGGUCGCAAGAUUAAA